GCAAAACUAACUUCAACUCCAUCGCCAAGAUCUUGGCCCAGCAGACAGGCCGUAGGAUCUCCAUCGGGGCUGGCCCAUGCCUAGGCGCCUGCACCCUUUCCAUGAAGGGGCCUGCUUGUUCACUAGGGAUGACCGGGAGCUCACCACCUCUUAUGGCAGCCCAUUCUUCUGUGCUCCUACUGUUGGAAAUUCCUGGAGUCUCCUUCCUGGCAUUCUCCGAGAUUGCCACCCAGCCAGGCCAGCCCUUCAGAGACGUGGUCACAACCCUGGGGCCUGCUCUUCUCUGGCAGAGUGGCCCCAGGUUCUUCAUCUGGGCCUCCUAGGUGCUGACGGUGGAUGCUCGUAACCACGGUGACAGCCCCCACAGCCCAGACAUGAGCUACGAGAUCAUGAGCCAGGACCUGCAGGACCUU
RNAcentral lists this small RNA (413 nucleotides) under Pan troglodytes (chimpanzee). RNAcentral describes it as "processed transcript". The record is from RNAcentral. Lineage: Eukaryota; Metazoa; Chordata; Mammalia; Primates; Hominidae.